GACGAACCGUGCGAACGUUGUUCGGAAUCACUGGGCUUAAAGGGCGCGUAGGCGGCUGACAAAGUCCGGGGUGAAAGCCCCCAGCUCAACUGGGGAAGUGCCUCGGAUACUGGUCAGCUCGAGGGAGGUAGGGGCGGAUGGAACUUCCGGUGGAGCGGUGAAAUGCGUUGAUAUCGGAAGGAACGCCGGUGGCGAAAGCGAUCCGCUGGCCCUCUACUGACGCUGAGGCGCGAAAGCCAGGGGAGCAAACGGG
This 253-nucleotide ribosomal RNA is filed under the name uncultured bacterium. RNAcentral describes it as "partial 16S ribosomal RNA". It matches the Rfam family "Bacterial small subunit ribosomal RNA", at positions 524 to 776 of the family's 1533-position model. The record is from RNAcentral.